ACGGGAGGCAGCAGCUAAGAAUAUUCCGCAAUGGACGAAAGUCUGACGGAGCGACGCCGCGUGGAUGAUGAAGGCCGGAAGGUUGUAAAAUCCUUUUAUAACUGAGGAAUAAGUAGUGGAGUGGAAAGCCAUUACGGUGACUGUAGGUUAUGAAUAAGCAACGGCUAAUUACGUGCCAGCAGCCGCGGUAACACGUAAGUUGCGAGCGUUGUUCGGAUUUAUUGGGCGUAAAGGGCAUGUAGGCGGUCUUGCAAGCUUGGUGUGAAAGGCGGAAGCUUAACUUCCGAAUUGCGUUGAGAACUGCAGGACUUGAGUCACUGAGGGGCAAUCAGAAUUCCAGGUGUAGGGGUGAAAUCUGUAGAUAUCUGGAAGAAUACCAAUGGCGAAGGCAGAUUACCAGCAGAUGACUGACGCUGAGGUGCGAAGGUGCGGGGAGCAAACAGGAUUAGAUACCCUGGUA
RNAcentral lists this ribosomal RNA (460 nucleotides) under uncultured Treponema sp. RNAcentral's name for it is "bacterial SSU rRNA". It matches the Rfam family "Bacterial small subunit ribosomal RNA", at positions 341 to 792 of the family's 1533-position model. The record is from RNAcentral. Lineage: Bacteria; Pseudomonadati; Spirochaetota; Spirochaetia; Treponematales; Treponemataceae.